RNAcentral lists this transfer RNA (74 nucleotides) under Bacillota bacterium. RNAcentral's name for it is "Firmicutes bacterium (gut metagenome) tRNA-Arg". It matches the Rfam family "tRNA". From Rfam's summary of the family: Transfer RNA (tRNA) molecules are approximately 80 nucleotides in length. Their secondary structure includes four short double-helical elements and three loops (D, anti-codon, and T loops). Further hydrogen bonds mediate the characteristic L-shaped molecular structure. tRNAs have two regions of fundamental functional importance: the anti-codon, which is responsible for specific mRNA codon recognition, and the 3' end, to which the tRNAs corresponding amino acid is attached (by aminoacyl-tRNA synthetases). tRNAs cope with the degeneracy of the genetic code in two manners: having more than one tRNA (with a specific anti-codon) for a particular amino acid; and 'wobble' base-pairing, i.e. permitting non-standard base-pairing at the 3rd anti-codon position. The record is from RNAcentral. Lineage: Bacteria; Bacillati; Bacillota.
GUUUCAGUAGCUCAGCUGGAUAGAGCAACGGCCUUCUAAGCCGUCGGUCGGGGGUUCGAAUCCCUCCUGGAACG